Oncorhynchus keta (chum salmon) is the source of this 1481-nucleotide long non-coding RNA. RefSeq lists it as uncharacterized. The record is from RefSeq and is a predicted model, not a curated record. NCBI's taxonomy places the organism in Eukaryota, Metazoa, Chordata, Actinopteri, Salmoniformes, Salmonidae. The transcript has 4 exons.
GCCCUGUAUCAGUGUUGUUAUUGGGGGAAACAGGCCCUGUAUCAGUGUUGUUAUUGGGGGAAACAGGCCCUGUAUCAGUGUUGUUAUUGGGGGAAACGGGCCCUGUAUCAGUGUUGUUAUUGGGGGAAACGGGCCCUGUAUCAGUGUUGUUAUAGGGGGAAGCUUGCCCUGUAUCAGUGUCGUUAUUGGGGGAAGCUGGUCCUGUAUCAGUGUUGUUAUUGGGGGAAGCUGGCCCUGUAUCAGUGUUGUUAUUGGGGGAAACAGGCCCUGUAUCAGUGUUGUUAUUGGGGGAAACGGGCCCUGUAUCAGUGUUGUUAUAGGGGGAAGCUGGCCCUGUAUCAGUGUUGUUAUAGGGGGAAGCUGGCCCUGUAUCAGUGUUGUUAUUGGGGGAAGCAGGCCCUGUAUCAGUGUUGUUAUAGGGGGAAACAGGCCCUCUAUCAAUGUUGUUAUUUGGGGGGUAGCACUAUUCACUAUCCAGAGGAAGGAGGGGUGGGGGGGUCAUAGGUCAUAGGUCAUGUUAUCAUACAGUUAGAGGAACUGAUAAUAAAAGGUGCUGUGUGCAGAAGUUGCACUAUAACUACUUUAGAAAUAUAAAUGUCUUUGUAAAUAAAUAAAUACAUGCAUAAAUAAAUAAAUGAUAAUGUUGUUAAAUAUAUAAAUAUAACCUCAACUUAAUAAAAUAAAAAAAAUCUGACUCGGAUAUUAAUUAAGAUUACAUUUGGAGGAUUUUCAUAUAUAAUAUAUGCCAUUUAGCAGACGCUUUUAUCCAAAGCGACUUACAGUCAUGUGUGCAUACAUUCUACGUAUGGGUGGUCCCGGGGAUCGAACCCACUACCCUGGCGUUACAAGCGCCAUGCUCUACCAACUGAGCUACAGAAGGUCCAUAUAUGAUGCAUGUCAGAGCUAGUGUAGAUCGUCUACUGAGAGUAGAUACAGAGAUGUAGACGAACCAUCAUGUGUUUCCUUCUACUAGAAAACCAGUGUGAACGUUUGAUCGAUGCCAACCCUCAUCUCGUCGCCAGGCUGUGGAUGCAUCCCAACUGGCACACGACUGUCUGCAUAGUUCACUGCAUUUGACCAGAGCAACUAUGAAAGAGACCAUGGGCCCAAAUAAAAAAAAAUGAUGCACUACAUAGGUAAUAGAUUGCAUUUUAAAAAACAUUUUUGAACCUUUAUUUAACUUGGGACGCACCCUGUGUGUGUGUUAACGUAUCAAGACAUAUCGGGGGGAAUACGCAGAUUAGAUAGCGUCCUUGAGGAGCUAUUCAUGAAGAGCUAUUCUGUCCUUUCCAACAGAACUGAGCUGGUAUGGAAAGAGACAAGGGACAGAACAGGUACUACAGCCAACUGUCGUUUUACUCUCCUAUGGGACAGAACAGGUACUACAGCCAACUGUCGUUUUACUCUCCUAUGGGACAGAACAGGUACUACAGCCAACUGUCGUUUUACUCUCCUAUUUUAUUUUAUUUUUGUUGUUGUUG